Molecule: ribosomal RNA, 461 nt
Filed under: uncultured bacterium
Lineage: Bacteria
Description: partial 16S ribosomal RNA
Rfam family: Bacterial small subunit ribosomal RNA
Source: RNAcentral
CCUACGGGUGGCAGCAGUGAGGAAUAUUGGUCAAUGGGCUUACGCCUGAACCAGCCAAGUCGCGUGAGGGAAGACUGCCCUAUGGGUUGUAAACCUCUUUUGUCAGGUAGCAAUUGGCGCUACGUGUAGCGUUAUCGAGAGUACAUGAAGAAAAAGCAUCCGCUAAAUACGGGCCAGCAGCCGCGGUAAUACGUAGGACCCGAGCGUUAUCCGGAUUUAUUGGGUUUAAAGGGAGCGUAGAUGGGUUGUUAAGCCAGUUGUGAAAGUUUGCGGCUCAACCGUAAGAUUGCUAUUGAUACUGGCAGUCUGGAGUACAGUUGGGGUAGGCGGAAUUCGUGGUGUAGCGGUGAAAUGCUUAGAUAUCACGAAGAACACCGAUGGCGAAGGCAGCUUACUAAACUGCCACUGACAUUGAUGCUCGAAAGUGUGGGUAUCAAACAGGAUUAGAUACCCUUGUAGUC